AGUGAACGCUGGCGGUAGGCCUAACACAUGCAAGUCGAACGGCAGCACAGUAAGAGCUUGCUCUUACGGGUGGCGAGUGGCGGACGGGUGAGGAAUACAUCGGAAUCUACUUUUUCGUGGGGGAUAACGUAGGGAAACUUACGCUAAUACCGCAUACGACCUACGGGUGAAAGCAGGGGAUCUUCGGACCUUGCGCGAUUGAAUGGGCCGAUGUCGGAUUAGCUAGUUGGCGGGGUAAAGGCCCACCAAGGCGACGAUCCGUAGCUGGUCUGAGAGGAUGAUCAGCCACACUGGAACUUAGACACGGUCCAGACUCCUACGGGAGGCAGCAGUGGGGAAUAUUGGACAAUGGGCGCAAGCCUGAUCCAGCCAUACCGCGUGGGUGAAGAAGGCCUUCGGGUUGUAAAGCCCUUUUGUUGGGAAAGAAAAGCAGCAGGUUAAUACCCCGCUGUUCUGACGGUACCCAAAGAAUAAGCACCGGCUAACUUCGUG
RNAcentral lists this ribosomal RNA (492 nucleotides) under uncultured bacterium. RNAcentral describes it as "partial 16S ribosomal RNA". It matches the Rfam family "Bacterial small subunit ribosomal RNA", at positions 29 to 507 of the family's 1533-position model. The record is from RNAcentral.